GUUUUUGCUAGAGUACGAACGAGGUAGGCGGAAUGUGCAGUGUAGCGGUGAAAUGCUUAGAUAUUGCACAGAACACCGAUUGCGAAGGCAGCUUACCAGGCCGUAACUGACGCUGAUGCACGAAAGCGUGGGGAUCAAACAGGAUUAGAUACCCUGGUAGUCCACGCCGUAAACGAUGAUCACUUGCUGUUGGCGAUACAUUGUCAGUGGCAAAGGGAAACCGAUAAGUGAUCCACCUGGGGAGUACGUUCGCAAGAAUGAAACUCAAAGGAAUUGACGGGGGCCCGCACAAGCGGAGGAACAUGUGGUUUAAUUCGAUGAUACGCGAGGAACCUUACCUGGGUUUGAACGUAUGUUGCAUGAGUUGGAAGCAGCUCUUUCCUUCGGGACUACAUACGAGGUGCUGCAUGGUUGUCGUCAGCUCGUGCCGUGAGGUGUCGGCUUAAGUGCCAUAACGAGCGCAACCCUCAUUGCCAGUUACCAGCACAUCAUGGUGGGGACUCUGGCGAAACUGCCGGCGUAAGCUGUGAGGAAGGUGGGGAUGACGUCAAAUCAGCACGGCCCUUAUAUCCAGGGCUACACACGUGUUACAAUGGUCGGUACAGCGGGCAGCCACUUGGCGACAAGGAGCUAAUCCCGAAAGCCGAUCUCAGUUCGGAUCGAAGUCUGCAACUCGACUUCGUGAAGGUGGAUUCGCUAGUAAUCGCGCAUCAGCUAUGGCGCGGUGAAUACGUUCCCGGGCCUUGUA
Molecule: ribosomal RNA, 748 nt
Filed under: uncultured bacterium
Lineage: Bacteria
Description: bacterial SSU rRNA
Rfam family: Bacterial small subunit ribosomal RNA
Source: RNAcentral